Molecule: ribosomal RNA, 749 nt
Filed under: uncultured bacterium
Lineage: Bacteria
Description: bacterial SSU rRNA
Rfam family: Bacterial small subunit ribosomal RNA
Source: RNAcentral
UGAGUAAAGUGGCGUACGGGUGAGUAACACGUGGAUCAUCUACCUCUUGGUGGGGAAUAACCCUGGGAAACCGGGGCUAAUACCGCAUAAGCCUGUGAAGGGAAAGCAGCAAUGCGCCGAGAGAGGAGUCCGCGGCCGAUUAGCUAGUUGGUAGGGUAAUGGCCUACCAAGGCAAUGAUCGGUAGCCGGCCUGAGAGGGCACACGGCCACACUGGCACUGAAACACGGGCCAGACUCCUACGGGAGGCAGCAGUGGGGAAUCUUGCACAAUGGAGGAAACUCUGAUGCAGCGACGCCGCGUGAGCGAUGAAGCCCUUCGGGGUGUAAAGCUCUUUCGACGGGAACGAUAAUGACGGUACCCGGAGAAGAAGCUGCGGCUAACUACGUGCCAGCAGCCGCGGUAAUACGUAGGCAGCAAGCGUUGUUCGGAAUUACUGGGCGUAAAGAGUGUGUAGGCGGUUCUCUAUGUUCGGUGUGAAAUCUCCCGGCUUAACUGGGAGGGUGCGCCGAAAACUGGAGGGCUUGAGUAUGGGAGAGGAAAGCGGAAUUCCUGGUGUAGCGGUGAAAUGCGUAGAUAUCAGGAGGAACACCUGCGGUGUAGACGGCUUUCUGGACCAUCACUGACGCUGAGACACGAAAGCGUGGGUAGCAAACAGGAUUAGAUACCCUGGUAGUCCACGCCCUAAACGAUGCAUACUUGGUGUGAGCCGUUCAUUCGGUUCGUGCCCGGAGCUACGCGUUAAGUAUGC